AAAAAAAAAAGACAAUGGUUUCCGUAUCCAACGUUUGACCGUCCGUCUUAUUUGAAAAAAAUAUAAAAAAAAUUAAAAAGAUAAGUCACGCAUAAAAUAUUAAUCAUGUUUUAUCAUCUAACAAGAAUGAAAAUACGAAUUAUAAAAAAAAUUCAUAUAAGACGGACAGUUAAAGUUGGACACGGAAACCAGGGAUUGUUUUUUUU
MicroRNA precursor from Oryza rufipogon (brownbeard rice), 206 nucleotides. It matches the Rfam family "MIR812 microRNA precursor family". Lineage: Eukaryota; Viridiplantae; Streptophyta; Magnoliopsida; Poales; Poaceae. The record is from Rfam.